RNAcentral lists this ribosomal RNA (700 nucleotides) under Lathyrus polyphyllus. RNAcentral's name for it is "eukaryotic LSU rRNA". The stretch from base 284 to 439 matches the Rfam family "5.8S ribosomal RNA". The record is from RNAcentral. Lineage: Eukaryota; Viridiplantae; Streptophyta; Magnoliopsida; Fabales; Fabaceae.
GUAACAAGGUUUCCGUAGGUGAACCUGCGGAAGGAUCAUUGUCGAUGCCUUACAUGCAGUCCAACACGUGAAUUUGUUUGAACACAUACGGUGGGCUUGAGGUGUUCCACACCCCGGCUUGCCACUGGUUUCGGAGGCGGACGACGAAGUGCGUUCUCCUCUGUGCCAAAACUCAAACCCCGGCGCUGAAUGCGUCAAGGAAUUUUAACUUUGCUCUGAGCGCAUCCGCAUGGCACCGGAGACGGUUUUCGUGCGGGUUGUGUUUUGACACAUUAUAUAGAAUGACUCUCGGCAACGGAUAUCUAGGCUCUUGCAUCGAUGAAGAACGUAGCGAAAUGCGAUACUUGGUGUGAAUUGCAGAAUCCCGUGAACCAUCGAGUCUUUGAACGCAAGUUGCGCCCGAUGCCAUUAGGUUGAGGGCACGUCUGCCUGGGUGUCACAUAUCGAAGCCUCCUGCCAAUUUCCUUUUGACAGGUAUUGUGCAGGGUGGACGUUGGCCUCCCGUGAGCUCUUUUGUCUCAUGGUUGGUUGAAAAUUGAGACCUUGGUAGGGUGUGCCAUGAUAAAUGGUGGUUGUGUGACCCACGAGACCAAUCAUGCACUGCUCUAUUGAAUUUGGCCUCUUUUACCCAUAUGCGUUUCUAAACGCUCGUGAUGAGACCUCAGGUCAGGCGGGGCUACCCGCUGAAUUUAAGCAUAUC